RNAcentral lists this ribosomal RNA (253 nucleotides) under uncultured bacterium. RNAcentral describes it as "partial 16S ribosomal RNA". It matches the Rfam family "Bacterial small subunit ribosomal RNA", at positions 524 to 776 of the family's 1533-position model. The record is from RNAcentral.
UACAGAGGUCUCAAGCGUUGUUCGGAUUCAUUGGGCGUAAAGGGUGCGUAGGUGGCGCGCUAAGUCAGGUGUGAAAUUUCGGAGCUUAACUCCGAAACUGCAUUUGAUACUGGCGUGCUUGAGGACUGGAGAGGAGACUGGAAUUCAUGGUGUAGCAGUGAAAUGCGUAGAGAUCAUGAGGAAAACCAGUGGCGAAGGCGGGUCUCUGGACAGUUCCUGACACUGAGGCACGAAGGCCAGGGGAGCAAACGGG